RNAcentral lists this ribosomal RNA (330 nucleotides) under Cephalopholis miniata (coral hind). Its description in RNAcentral is "partial 12S ribosomal RNA". It matches the Rfam family "Bacterial small subunit ribosomal RNA", at positions 1053 to 1521 of the family's 1533-position model. The record is from RNAcentral. Lineage: Eukaryota; Metazoa; Chordata; Actinopteri; Perciformes; Serranidae.
CGUCAGCUUACCCUAUGAAGGCCCCUUAGUAAGCACAAUUGGUACAACCCAAAACGUCAGGUCGAGGUGUAGCGUAUGGAAAGGGAAGAAAUGGGCUACAUUCCUUAACCCCAAGGAAUUACGAAAAAUAUCACUGAAACGUGUAUCUAGAAGGAGGAUUUAGCAGUAAGCAGAAAAUAGAGCGUUCUGCUGAAACUGGCCCUGAAGCGCGCACACACCGCCCGUCACUCUCCCCAAGCGCACUCACGCAACUUAACUUAAAACCUUUUAACAGCAAAGGGGAGGCAAGUCGUAACAUGGUAAGUGUACCGGAAGGUGCACUUGGCAAAA